GACGAACGCUGGCGGCGUGCUUAACACAUGCAAGUCGAACGGAAAGGCCCUGCCUUUGUGGGGUGCUCGAGUGGCGAACGGGUGAGUAACACGUGAGUAACCUGCCCUUGACUUUGGGAUAACUUCAGGAAACUGGGGCUAAUACCGGAUAGGAGCUCCUGCUGCAUGGUGGGGGUUGGAAAGUUUCGGCGGUUGGGGAUGGACUCGCGGCUUAUCAGCUUGUUGGUGGGGUAGUGGCUUACCAAGGCUUUGACGGGUAGCCGGCCUGAGAGGGUGACCGGCCGCAUUGGGACUGAGAUACGGCCCAGACUCCUACGGGAGGCAGCAGUGGGGAAUAUCGCACAAUGGGCGGAAGCCUGAUGCAGCAACGCCGCGUGCGGGAUGACGGCCUUCGGGUUGUAAACCGCUUUCGCCUGUGACGAAGCGUGAGUGACGGUAAUGGGUAAAGAAGCACCGGCUAACUACGUG
This 468-nucleotide ribosomal RNA is filed under the name uncultured bacterium. RNAcentral describes it as "partial 16S ribosomal RNA". It matches the Rfam family "Bacterial small subunit ribosomal RNA", at positions 28 to 507 of the family's 1533-position model. The record is from RNAcentral.